This 85-nucleotide transfer RNA is filed under the name Planctomycetota bacterium. RNAcentral's name for it is "Planctomycetes bacterium (groundwater metagenome) tRNA-Leu". It matches the Rfam family "tRNA". Rfam says of the family: Transfer RNA (tRNA) molecules are approximately 80 nucleotides in length. The record is from RNAcentral. RNAcentral also lists the same sequence under 1 other name. Lineage: Bacteria; Pseudomonadati; Planctomycetota.
GCCGGAGUGGCGGAAUUGGCAGACGCGCCAGGUUGAGGGCCUGGUUCCUGUAAUGGGAGUGCAGGUUCAAGUCCUGUCUCCGGCA